RNAcentral lists this ribosomal RNA (527 nucleotides) under bacterium E-1-0-1C. Its description in RNAcentral is "bacterial SSU rRNA". It matches the Rfam family "Bacterial small subunit ribosomal RNA", at positions 465 to 991 of the family's 1533-position model. The record is from RNAcentral.
UGCUUGGACGUUACUCGCAGAAUAAGCACCGGCUAACUCUGUGCCAGCAGCCGCGGUAAUACAGAGGGUGCAAGCGUUAAUCGGAUUUACUGGGCGUAAAGCGCGCGUAGGUGGCCAAUUAAGUCAAAUGUGAAAUCCCCGAGCUUAACUUGGGAAUUGCAUUCGAUACUGGUUGGCUAGAGUAUGGGAGAGGAUGGUAGAAUUCCAGGUGUAGCGGUGAAAUGCGUAGAGAUCUGGAGGAAUACCGAUGGCGAAGGCAGCCAUCUGGCCUAAUACUGACACUGAGGUGCGAAAGCAUGGGGAGCAAACAGGAUUAGAUACCCUGGUAGUCCAUGCCGUAAACGAUGUCUACUAGCCGUUGGGGCCUUUGAGGCUUUAGUGGCGCAGCUAACGCGAUAAGUAGACCGCCUGGGGAGUACGGUCGCAAGACUAAAACUCANAUGANUUGACGGGGGCCCGCACAAGCGGUGGAGCAUGUGGUUUAAUUCGAUGCAACGCGAAGACCCUUACCUGGUCUUGACAUAGUA